Molecule: ribosomal RNA, 757 nt
Filed under: uncultured bacterium
Lineage: Bacteria
Description: bacterial SSU rRNA
Rfam family: Bacterial small subunit ribosomal RNA
Source: RNAcentral
AUUGAACGCUGGCGGCAUGCCUAACACAUGCAAGUCGAACGGCAGCAUGAGUGAGGGUAACCUUACUUGAUGGCGAGUGGCGGACGGGUGAGUAAUAUGUAGGAAUCUACCUAGAGGAGGGGGAUAACUUAGGGAAACUUAAGCUAAUACCACAUAAGCCCUACGGGGGAAAGCAGGGGAUCGCAAGACCUUGCGCCUUAUGAUGAGCCUACAUCGGAUUAGCUUGUUGGUGGGGUAAAGGCCUACCAAGGCGAUGAUCCGUAGCUGGUCUGAGAGGAUGACCAGCCACACUGGGACUGAGACACGGCCCAGACUCCUACGGGAGGCAGCAGUGGGGAAUAUUGGACAAUGGGGGCAACCCUGAUCCAGCAAUGCCGCGUGUGUGAAGAAGGCCUUAGGGUUGUAAAGCACUUUCAGUGGGGAGGAAGGGGUGAUUGAUAAUACCAAUUAUCAUUGACGUUACCCACAGAAGAAGCACCGGCUAACUCUGUGCCAGCAGCCGCGGUAAUACAGAGGGUGCGAGCGUUAAUCGGAAUUACUGGGCGUAAAGGGUGUGUAGGUGGUUGUGUAAGUUAGAUGUGAAAUCCCUGGGCUCAACCUGGGAACUGCGUUUAAAACUGCAUAGCUAGAGUACUGUAGAGGAUAGUGGAAUUUCCAGUGUAGCGGUGAAAUGCGUAGAUAUUGGAAGGAACACCAGUGGCGAAGGCGACCAUCUGGGCAGAUACUGACACUGAGACACGAGAGCAUGGGGAGCAAA